CUACGGAGGGGACUAGCGUUGUUCGGAAUUACUGGGCGUAAAGAGUUCGUAGGCGGACUGAUAAGUAAGAGGUGAAAUCCCAGGGCUCAACCCUGGAGCUGCCUUUUAAACUGUCAGUCUAGAGACCGGAAGAGGUUAGGGGAAUACCUAGUGUAGAGGUGAAAUUCGUAGAUAUUAGGUGGAACACCAGUGGCGAAGGCGCCUAACUGGUCCGGUACUGACGCUGAGGAACGAAAGCGUGGGGAGCAAACAGGAGUAGAAACCCUAGUAGUCC
RNAcentral lists this ribosomal RNA (274 nucleotides) under uncultured bacterium. Its description in RNAcentral is "partial 16S ribosomal RNA". It matches the Rfam family "Bacterial small subunit ribosomal RNA", at positions 523 to 796 of the family's 1533-position model. The record is from RNAcentral.